UUCCGGAAUCUGGCGCGGCCUUUGUCUCACUUCAGCCAGAGAGCGGGGUUAGGGCUUCAUUGCCUUGUGUCCUCUGCUCCGGGAGACUUCGGUGAUUCUGCCACUCCCUCCGUCGCUCUGUGACCUGCUGGCAUUGAAUGAUUUAUAGCUAAGACUCCAGGACACCCCUGAAGCCGAGAAAUGAAAUCCCAAGUUGACCGUCAAGUCCAACGCUCGCUGCAGACAUCUAGUGGACCCGGCGCUCGCGGACGGAAGCGGACAGACCUAGUUGGAUCCUUAUCCCACCAAUCUGGCCCACCUUUGCUGCCAUCUAACUCCGCUGACCGGCCCACCGUUCCUCCACUGUUCGCUGGUUGACCCGGGCAGCGGAGAGAGGAGGCGGCACCAACAGAAGGCUUCUGCAAAGCUGAGAGCUCCUUUUACCCAUGGAUCAGGAGCAGAGUUUGCAGCUACACUGUCAGGCUGUGUUUGGAUGUUAGCAGUUAGUUUAGCUUUGCGUCUUCAGAGCAAUUGUUCUUAGCUACUUAAAAAAAGAAAAGAAAAGAAAGGAAAAUUUAAAAUUUUCUUCAUUGAUCAUUCAGGAGCAUGUUUAAUUUCCAUGUAUUUGUACAAUUUCAAAAGUUCACCUUGUUGUUGACUUCUAGUUUUAUUCCAUUGUGGUCAGGAAAGAUACUCGAUAUAAUUUCAAUUAUUUUAAAUUUGUUGAGACUUGUUUUGUGGCCUAACAUAUGGUCUAUUCUGGAGAAUGUUUCUUGUGCUGAUGAAAGAAUGUGUUUUUUGCAUCUGUUGGAUGAAAUGUUCUGUAAAUGUCUCUUU
Long non-coding RNA from Homo sapiens (human), 816 nucleotides. Lineage: Eukaryota; Metazoa; Chordata; Mammalia; Primates; Hominidae. The record is from Ensembl.